AGCCAUGCAGUCGGCCAGCCAGACUACCAGGUAGCCAUGCAGUUAGCCAGACAGACUACCAGGUAUCCAUGCAGCCAGCCAGCCAGACUACCAGGUAGCCAUGCAGCCAGCCAGCCAGACUACCAGGUAUCCACGCAGCCAGCCAGCCAGACUACCAGGUAUGCAUGCAGCCAGCCAGCCAGACUACCAGGUAGCCAUGCAGCCAGCCAGCCAGACUACCAGGUAUCCAUGCAGCCAGCAGGACAGACUACCAGGUAGC
Long non-coding RNA from Oncorhynchus tshawytscha (Chinook salmon), 259 nucleotides. The record is from Ensembl. NCBI's taxonomy places the organism in Eukaryota, Metazoa, Chordata, Actinopteri, Salmoniformes, Salmonidae.